GUAGCUGGUCUGAGAGGAUGACCAGCCACACUGGAACUGAGACACGGUCCAGACUCCUACGGGAGGCAGCAGUGGGGAAUAUUGGACAAUGGGGGCAACCCUGAUCCAGCAAUGCCGCGUGUGUGAAGAAGGCCUGAGGGUUGUAAAGCACUUUCAGUGGGGAGGAGGGAUGAUAGGUUAAGAGCCAAUUAUUUGGACGUUACCCACAGAAGAAGCACCGGCUAACUCCGUGCCAGCAGCCGCGGUAAUACGGAGGGUGCGAGCGUUAAUCGGAAUUACUGGGCGUAAAGAGUGCGUAGGUGGUUAAUUAAGUUAUCUGUGAAAUCCCUGGGCUUAACCUGGGCAGGUCAGAUGAUACUGAUUGACUCGAGUACGG
RNAcentral lists this ribosomal RNA (376 nucleotides) under uncultured Legionella sp. Its description in RNAcentral is "bacterial SSU rRNA". It matches the Rfam family "Bacterial small subunit ribosomal RNA", at positions 283 to 651 of the family's 1533-position model. The record is from RNAcentral. Lineage: Bacteria; Pseudomonadati; Pseudomonadota; Gammaproteobacteria; Legionellales; Legionellaceae.